This 492-nucleotide ribosomal RNA is filed under the name uncultured bacterium. RNAcentral describes it as "partial 16S ribosomal RNA". It matches the Rfam family "Bacterial small subunit ribosomal RNA", at positions 29 to 507 of the family's 1533-position model. The record is from RNAcentral.
AGUGAACGCUGGCGGUAGGCCUAACACAUGCAAGUCGAACGGCAGCACAGUAAGAGCUUGCUCUUACGGGUGGCGAGUGGCGGACGGGUGAGGAAUACAUCGGAAUCUACUUUUUCGUGGGGGAUAACGUAGGGAAACUUACGCUAAUACCGCAUACGACCUACGGGUGAAAGCAGGGGAUCUUCGGACCUUGCGCGAUUGAAUGAGCCGAUGUCGGAUUAGCUAGUUGGCGGGGUAAAGGCCCACCAAGGCGACGAUCCGUAGCUGGUCUGAGAGGAUGAGCAGCCACACUGGAACUGAGACACGGUCCAAACUCCUACGGGAGGCAGCAGUGGGGAAUAUUGGACAAUGGGCGCAAGCCUGAUCCAGCCAUACCGCGUGAGUGAAGAAGGCCUUCGGGUUGUAAAGCCCUUUUGUUGGGAAAGAAAAGCAGCAGGUUAAUACCCCGCUGUUCUGACGGUACCCAAAGAAUAAGCACCGGCUAACUUCGUG